Molecule: ribosomal RNA, 325 nt
Filed under: uncultured Bacteroidota bacterium
Lineage: Bacteria; Pseudomonadati; Bacteroidota
Description: bacterial SSU rRNA
Rfam family: Bacterial small subunit ribosomal RNA
Source: RNAcentral
GAUGAACGCUAGCGGGAGGCCUAACACAUGCAAGUCGAACGGGAUUGAGAGCUUGCUCUCAUGAGAGUGGCGCACGGGUGAGUAACGCGUAUGCAACCUGCCUUUAACAGAGGGAUAGCCCAUAGAAAUGUGGAUUAAUACCUCAUAGUCCUGAUUGACCGCAUGGUUUGAUCAGGUAAAGCCACCAGGCGGUUAGAGAUGGGCAUGCGUGACAUUAGCUAGUUGGUAAGGUAACGGCUUACCAAGGCUACGAUGUCUAGGGGUUCUGAGAGGAUGAUCCCCCACACUGGUACUGAGACACGGACCAGACUCCUACGGGAGGCAG